This 620-nucleotide ribosomal RNA is filed under the name Astrosyne radiata. RNAcentral describes it as "partial Eukaryotic large subunit ribosomal RNA". It matches the Rfam family "Eukaryotic large subunit ribosomal RNA", at positions 88 to 669 of the family's 3401-position model. Lineage: Eukaryota; Bacillariophyta; Fragilariophyceae; Cyclophorales; Cyclophoraceae. The record is from RNAcentral.
GGCGAGUGAAGCGGGAAGAGCUCAGACUGAAAAUCCCUCGGGAGUUGUAGUCUCUAGACGCGGACCCAAACGGUAGCACGGGCGUAAGUCCUCACGAGCGAGGCGCCAGGGAGGGUGAGAGCCCCGUACCGCCCGAGCUGCCAAACGGACCAAAGUCGACGAGUCGAGAUGCUUGGGAGUGCAUCUCUAAGUGGGUGGUAUGUCCCAUCUAAAGCUAAAUAUUGGCAAGAGACCGAUAGCGAACAAGUACUGUGAAGGAAAGAUGAAAAGCACUUUGAAAAGAAGGUUAAAAGAGCUUGAAAUUGCUGAAAGGGAAGCGAUUGGCUCCAGUACGGCCUCUGAUGUGUUCGCACUAGGGUGGCCGGUCAGCAUCGGUUCGGACCGCGCGAGAGCUCCUCGAGGAAGGUGCCGUGCCCCUGCUCCGGCAGGGAAGCAUGGGUUAAGCCUCGGGGGUGGCGGUGUGGUCUUGACCGAGGGAAGCGCAGCGCUUACGUCUAUAGGCAAGGGCGUCUUAGGAACGCGUAUUCAUACGCAAUCCGGGCUCCUGGACCCAACGGGACGCGCGUUGCGAAGAUGUUGACGAAAUGGAGUCCAUUGACCCGUCUUGUAACACGGACCAA